This 72-nucleotide transfer RNA is filed under the name Parapocryptes serperaster (serpent mudskipper). RNAcentral's name for it is "tRNA-Asp". It matches the Rfam family "tRNA". From Rfam's summary of the family: Transfer RNA (tRNA) molecules are approximately 80 nucleotides in length. Their secondary structure includes four short double-helical elements and three loops (D, anti-codon, and T loops). Lineage: Eukaryota; Metazoa; Chordata; Actinopteri; Gobiiformes; Gobiidae. The record is from RNAcentral.
GAGAUAUUAGUAUAAAUGAUAAUACAUUGCUUUGUCAGAGCUAAAUUGUGGGUUAAACUCCCAUGUAUCUUU